GUGCUGAAGCAACAAAUGCCCUGCUUCCAGGAAAAGCCUCUAAGCAUCAGGUAACACGAAAUCGUACCCCAAACCGACACAGGUGGUCAGGUAGAGAAUACCAAGGCGCUUGAGAGAACUCGGGUGAAGGAACUAGGCAAAAUGGUGCCGUAACUUCGGGAGAAGGCACGCUGACACGUAGGUGAAGUGAUUUACUCAUGGAGCUGAAGUCAGUCGAAGAUACCAGCUGGCUGCAACUGUUUAUUAAAAACACAGCACUGUGCAAACACGAAAGUGGACGUAUACGGUGUGACGCCUGCCCGGUGCCGGAAGGUUAAUUGAUGGGGUCAGCGUAAGCGAAGCUCCUGAUCGAAGCCCCGGUAAACGGCGGCCGUAACUAUAACGGUCCUAAGGUAGCGAAAUUCCUUGUCGGGUAAGUUCCGACCUGCACGAAUGGCGUAAUGAUGGCCAGGCUGUCUCCACCCGAGACUCAGUGAAAUUGAACUCGCUGUGAAGAUGCAGUGUACCCGCGGCAAGACGGAAAGACCCCGUGAACCUUUACUAUAGCUUGACACUGAACAUUGAGCCUUGAUGUGUAGGAUAGGUGGGAGGCUUUGAAGUGUGGACGCCAGUCUGCAUGGAGCCGACCUUGAAAUACCACCCUUUAAUGUUUGAUGUUCUAACGUGGACCCGUAAUCCGGGUUGCGGACAGUGUCUGGUGGGUAGUUUGACUGGGGCGGUCUCCUCCUAAAGAGUAACGGAGGAGCACGAAGGUUGGCUAAUCCUGGUCGGACAUCAGGAGGUUAGUGCAAUGGCAUAAGCCAGCUUGACUGCGAGCGUGACGGCGCGAGCAGGUGCGAAAGCAGGUCAUAGUGAUCCGGUGGUUCUGAAUGGAAGGGCCAUCGCUCAACGGAUAAAAGGUACUCCGGGGAUAACAGGCUGAUACCGCCCAAGAGUUCAUAUCGACGGCGGUGUUUGGCACCUCGAUGUCGGCUCAUCACAUCCUGGGGCUGAAGUAGGUCCCAAGGGUAUGGCUGUUCGCCAUUUAAAGUGGUACGCGAGCUGGGUUUAGAACGUCGUGAGACAGUUCGGUCCCUAUCUGCCGUGGGCGCUGGAGAACUGAGGGGGGCUGCUCCUAGUACGAGAGGACCGGAGUGGACGCAUCACUGGUGUUCGGGUUGUCAUGCCAAUGGCACUGCCCGGUAGCUAAAUGCGGAAGAGAUAAGUGCUGAAAGCAUCUAAGCACGAAACUUGCCCCGAGAUGAGUUCUCCCUGAGACUUAG
This 1262-nucleotide ribosomal RNA is filed under the name Salmonella enterica. Its description in RNAcentral is "partial 23S ribosomal RNA". It matches the Rfam family "Bacterial large subunit ribosomal RNA", at positions 1582 to 2824 of the family's 2925-position model. The record is from RNAcentral. Lineage: Bacteria; Pseudomonadati; Pseudomonadota; Gammaproteobacteria; Enterobacterales; Enterobacteriaceae.